Long non-coding RNA from Homo sapiens (human), 950 nucleotides. Ensembl annotates it as ghrelin opposite strand/antisense RNA. Its record names the gene GHRLOS. Lineage: Eukaryota; Metazoa; Chordata; Mammalia; Primates; Hominidae. The record is from Ensembl.
GUUUGAACAUUUAUUCGCCUCCUGAGCUUGUACAACAGUCGUGGGAGUUGCUGCAGAAGCAAGCGAAAAGCCAGAUGAGCGCUUCUAAACUUAGAGAGAGGAGGGCAGCCACUGAGGAUUCUUGAGGAGAGAGAGACCAUAGAAUGAAUGAAAGAGUUGGAAAGACUUUAAAGCUCUGGGAGGCUGAAUCCUUUAUUUCGCUGGAAGAAAAACUGAAUGCCAAGAGGGCCUCACUUUCCCCAAAGCUAUACAGCCAUCAGGGGCAAUGCUGGGAUUCCCCCAUGGAUCUCUUGACUCCUAAUACAGUGCUCUUUCUGAUAUGCCAUCUGGCUCCAUAAUGAACAUUGUGUUCCAGGAAAAUCAGUCUGCGCUGAACAGGAUGGAAUUGGGGCAGGACGUCCAGUGAGGAGGACAUUGAGGCAGUAGAGCAGUUGAUUGCCGAAUGACCACCUACCCUGACUUAAAAGAUCAACCUCAGGGAGGAUUGGAGCUUUCUAGAGUCUCUUGGGACAGCAGAAGCACAGGCCGGGUUGGACUGAAUCUUUAAGUGGACAUGAGGGACAAAGUACCUCCUGUUGGUAAACAUCUCACCACCAACCCACUGUGGUGGCUAAAAUCCCACCUUUAGUCCCAGCAACAUAUGAGCAUGUCACCAGGAGGUCUUCACAGGCCUGUCUGCCACCUGAGUGUAGACAUCUUUUGGCCCUGGAGCCCAGAGAGGCUGAAUGUGGAGAGGGUGGAGAGAGGUCUGUAGUCCUCAGAGAAGACUUGCAGCUUUUUCAGAGCCACCAACCCAUAAAAAAAAAAAUCCCCAAACAGAAAAAUCCUAACUGUGGUGACCAGGUACCUCCUGAGACAUGAAGCCUCCACUUACCUGGACCCUGGAGGCCUCUCCGGGCACAGCUGCCAAUGUUGAUCUUAGAUAAGACCACCAGCAAGUAAACAUCCAC